This 624-nucleotide small RNA is filed under the name Trichoderma asperellum. RNAcentral describes it as "eukaryotic LSU rRNA". The stretch from base 219 to 372 matches the Rfam family "5.8S ribosomal RNA". The record is from RNAcentral. Lineage: Eukaryota; Fungi; Ascomycota; Sordariomycetes; Hypocreales; Hypocreaceae.
CUUCUUUCGGUAGAACACCUGAAGAAGCAUCACUACAGAGUUUACAAAUCCCAAACCCAAUGUGAACGUUACCAAACUGUCACCUUGGCGGGGUCACGCCCCGGGUGCGUCGCAGCCCCGGAACCAGGCGCCCGCCGGAGGAACCAACCAAACUCUUUCUGUAGUCCCCUCGCGGACGUAUUUCUUACAGCUCUGAGCAAAAAUUCAAAAUGAAUCAAAACUUUCAAGAACGGAUCUCUUGGUUCUGGCAUCGAUGAAGAACGCAGCGAAAUGCGAUAAGUAAUGUGAAUUGCAGAAUUCAGUGAAUCAUCGAAUCUUUGAACGCAGAUUGCGCCCACGAGUAUUCUGGCGGGCAUGCCUGUCCGAGCGUCAUUUCAACCCUCGAACCCCUCCGGGGGAUCGGCGUUGGGGAUCGGGACGCCUCACACGGGUGCCGGCCCCUAAAUACGGUGGCGGUCUCGCCGCAGCCUCUCCUGCGCAGUAGUUUGCACAACUCGCACCGGGAGCGCGGCGCGUCCACGUCCGUAAAACACCCAACUUUCUGAAAUGUUGACCUCGGAUCAGGUAGGAAUACCCGCUGAACUUAAGCAUAUCAUAAGCCGGAGGAAAGAGGAAGUAUCCUUA